AUUGAACGCUGGCGGCAGGCUUAACACAUGCAAGUCGAGCGGAGAGAGGUAGCUUGCUACUGAUCUUAGCGGCGGACGGGUGAGUAAUGCCUAGGAAUCUGCCUAUUAGUGGGGGACAACAUUUCGAAAGGAAUGCUAACACCGCAUACGUCCUACGGGAGAAAGCAGGGGAUCUUCGGACCUUGCGCUAAUAGAUGAGCCUAAGUCGGAUUAGCUAGUUGGCGGGGUAAAGGCCUACCAAGGCGACGAUCUGUAGCGGGUCUGAGAGGAUGAUCCGCCACACUGGGACUGAGACACGGCCCAGACUCCUACGGGAGGCAGCAGUGGGGAAUAUUGGACAAUGGGGGGAACCCUGAUCCAGCCAUGCCGCGUGUGUGAAGAAGGCCUUAUGGUUGUAAAGCACUUUAAGCGAGGAGGAGGCUACUCUAGUUAAUACCUAGGGAUAGUGGACGUUACUCGCAGAAUAAGCACCGGCUAACUCUGUGCCAGCCGCCGCGGUAA
Molecule: ribosomal RNA, 501 nt
Filed under: uncultured bacterium
Lineage: Bacteria
Description: partial 16S ribosomal RNA
Rfam family: Bacterial small subunit ribosomal RNA
Source: RNAcentral